CCUACGGGUGACAGCAGUAGGGAAUAUUGCUCAAUGGGGGAAACCCUGAAGCAGCAACGCCGCGUGGAGGAUGAAGGCCCUACGGGUCGUAAACCGCUUUUGCACGGGGAUAACACCCUCCACUUGUGGAGGUCUGCAGGUACCGUGCGAAUAAGGGCCGGCUAAUUCCGUGCCAGCAGCCGCGGUAAUACGGAAGGCCCGAGCGUUAUCCGGAUUCAUUGGGCUUAAAGGGAGCGUAGGCGGGCGUUCAAGUCAGCUGUAAAAUCGCGCGGCUCAACCGCGCCCCGCAGUUGAAACUGGACGCCUUGAGUUCACAACAGGCAGGCGGAAUUCGUGGUGUAGCGGUGAAAUGCAUAGAUAUCACGAGGAACCCCGAUUGCGAAGGCAGCCUGCCGGGGUGCGACUGACGCUGAGGCUCGAAGGUGCGGGUAUCAAACAGGAUUAGAUACCCUGGUAGUC
This 459-nucleotide ribosomal RNA is filed under the name uncultured bacterium. Its description in RNAcentral is "partial 16S ribosomal RNA". It matches the Rfam family "Bacterial small subunit ribosomal RNA", at positions 338 to 795 of the family's 1533-position model. The record is from RNAcentral.